GUCCACGCUGUAAACGAUGAGCACUAGGUGUCGUGGGUAUUGACCCCUGCGGUGCCGUAGCUAACGCAUUAAGUGCUCCGCCUGGGGACUACGGCCGCAAGGUUAAAACUCAAAGGAAUUGACGGGGGCCCGCACAAGCGGUGGAGCAUGUGGUUCAAUUCGACGCAACGCGAAGAACCUUACCUGGGCUAGACAACGGAGGACAGCUCCAGAGAUGGGGUCUUCCCUUCGGGGACCUCCGGUUCAGGUGCUGCAUGGCUGUCGU
RNAcentral lists this ribosomal RNA (265 nucleotides) under uncultured bacterium. RNAcentral describes it as "partial 16S ribosomal RNA". It matches the Rfam family "Bacterial small subunit ribosomal RNA", at positions 793 to 1055 of the family's 1533-position model. The record is from RNAcentral.